Molecule: ribosomal RNA, 460 nt
Filed under: uncultured bacterium
Lineage: Bacteria
Description: partial 16S ribosomal RNA
Rfam family: Bacterial small subunit ribosomal RNA
Source: RNAcentral
CCUACGGGAGACAGCAGUGAGGAAUAUUGGUCAAUGGACGCAAGUCUGAACCAGCCAUGCCGCGUGCAGGAAGACGGCUCUAUGAGUUGUAAACUGCUUUUGUACGAGGGUAAACGCAGAUACGCGUAUCUGUCUGAAAGUAUCGUACGAAUAAGGAUCGGCUAACUCCGUGCCAGCAGCCGCGGUAAUACGGAGGAUUCAAGCGUUAUCCGGAUUUAUUGGGUUUAAAGGGUGCGUAGGCGGUCGGAUAAGUUAGAGGUGAAAUCCCGAGGCUCAACUUCGGAAUUGCCUCUGAUACUGUUCGGCUAGAGAGUAGUUGCGGUAGGCGGAAUGUAUGGUGUAGCGGUGAAAUGCUUAGAGAUCAUACAGAACACAGAUUGCGAAGGCAGCUUACCAAGCUACGUCUGACGUUGAGGCACGAAGGCCAGGGGAGCGAAAGGGAGUAGAUACCCUUGUAGUC